Miniopterus natalensis is the source of this 1763-nucleotide non-coding RNA. Lineage: Eukaryota; Metazoa; Chordata; Mammalia; Chiroptera; Miniopteridae. The record is from RefSeq and is a predicted model, not a curated record.
CGCCCUAGGGGAGCCCUGUGGGUGCCCCCCCCCCUCCGGGCUUGGCCGGGGUGGUCGCAAAUCCGUCCGUGGGCGACCUGUUACCCCGGAGCUUCCCCAGUGAGCAGCGACCGAAGCUGCCGUCAUGGAGGUGGGGAGCCCGCGACUGCUCACUCAGGCCCUUUGCUUGGAGCGGGAACCGGGCCUGAGCACCAGCCUCUAACCCGACGCUUAGCGCGCCACCGGCCUGCGACGGGCACGGGCUGCUUGGAGCUUGCGCGCGGCAUGUUAGAAACCCAUCUUCCUCUACUCCACUACCAAAUGUUGAGGUUCUUCAAGAUCAGUCACUUGAAGAUGAUGUCAACAAAAAUUGCGAGUAGGGAACUCCAAGGAUAUGUCCCUCUACAUAAAGAGCAUAUAAAUUGCAAAUAUUAUUAGAAUCAAGUUUAUGUGAACUCUGGAAGCUAAUCAAACAUUACAGUAACCAGACAGACAAUCAAGAAAAAGGUUGUUGAACCUCAGGAGCUUUGUGUCAUUUAAACUUACUGUGGCCCCAUUUCCUUAUCCCCAGUUCAUUGACAGCAGUUUUGAAGACAGCAGCCUACAUUUCUGGCAUAGAUGCCUGGUGCCCGAGAGAGCAGAAUGGACCUUGUCCUCAAAGAAUUGUGGUAGUUUGUUUUGACAAGCCUGUCUGUCUGUCUCUUUCUCCUCCCCCUCCACUCUGAAAAGCAAUGGGAAAAAAAUAUCCUUGAGUGAGGAUUAAAAUAUAUCACUGUGUCAUCUACUUAGAAGUUUUCAAUGGCUCCCUUUAUCACUCAUAGUGAAACCUACAGUCAUAACAUUGGUAUACAAAAGCCUUUCUCCCCUUCCUCUCUGACCUCAUCUCCAAUUCUCUGCCCUUGCUUGCUCCAAUGGCCUCCUUGUCCUUCAGAUGAUCUGGGAUACUACUACUUGAGGGUUUUUGCACAAGAUGUUUAUUCUGCAUUCUUCUAUAUAUCCACUUGGCUUAACUUCCUUAUUUCCUUUAAGUUCUUGCUCAAUUUUUACUUUCUCCGGGCAGCCUAAUUUGAUCACCAUAUUUAAAAUUGAAGCCCUUCCACAUGUACUCAUGAAUCCCCUUUCUCUGCUUUGUUUUUAUUUUGCCUAUAAAACUUGUGACCUUCUAGCAUGCUGUAUAAUUUACUUAAUUAUUUUUAUUGCCUGUUACCCACUAAUGUAAGUUCCACAAGCGUAGGAACCAUUGUCUCUUGCUCACUGAUAUAUCCCAAGUAUGUGACUCAUAGUUGGUGCUCAAUAAGUAUUUGUUGAAGAAUGAAUAAAUGAAUUAAAAAACCUUAACAACUUACUAAUUGUUAAAACACUUGUGGAUGAAAAGGAGAUAUAUAACAGUUCACUGACCAAGAGUAACUUCACAAGGUGAUCUGAUCAUUAAUUCCUAACUGGGAAGGUCAUGGUGGGUAGUCACACCCCAGGCCUGUAACUUUAGUAAAAGGUUUUUAAGCAAGCCCUGCCUAUCGUUCUUGUGCAUCUAGGUUAACACACCUUGAAAUGCCAUAAGUAAUUCUCUUUUCCAGACACCUCAAAGGCAUAACCACCCUCACGGGUGCACGUAAUCUUAACUAUCCUGUACCUUGCUUUCUCCCACCUUCAUGUAAUUUUCUUUGCUCCAUCCUUAAUCCCAAAUGUAUAAAAGAAACUGCAAAACUGUUAUUCCCUGGAACAUUUGAAAUCUUGCUUCCCAGUAUUGUUGUCAGUUUGUCUCAAAUAAACUCUUCUAAAAAUUA